RNAcentral lists this ribosomal RNA (61 nucleotides) under Micromonospora saelicesensis. RNAcentral describes it as "partial 16S rRNA. Bacterial SSU". It matches the Rfam family "Bacterial small subunit ribosomal RNA", at positions 1 to 59 of the family's 1533-position model. The record is from RNAcentral. Lineage: Bacteria; Bacillati; Actinomycetota; Actinomycetes; Micromonosporales; Micromonosporaceae.
UUUUGUUGGAGAGUUUGAUCCUGGCUCAGGACGAACGCUGGCGGCGUGCUUAACACAUGCA